CCCUUAGAUGUUCUGGGCAGCACGCGCGCUACAAUGGUCUUCGCAAACGGAUGCAUUCUCGAAGGAGAAUGCCAAUCUUGGAAUCUAUGCCUUGGUCGGGACAGUUGCUUGCAAUUUUUCGACUCGAACCAGGAAUUCCUUGUAAUCGUGAUUCAUCACAUCACGCUGAAUACGUCCCUGCCCUUUGUACACACCGCCCGUCGCUCCUACCGAUCGAAGAGUUAGGUGAAUUGUUUUGAUCGAUAAGAUUUGACUAUGGUCAACUCUCGUUGUGAAAUUCUGUGAAUCUGACUGUUUAGAGGAAGGAAAAGUCGUAACA
Molecule: ribosomal RNA, 319 nt
Filed under: uncultured eukaryote
Lineage: Eukaryota
Description: partial 18S ribosomal RNA
Rfam family: Eukaryotic small subunit ribosomal RNA
Source: RNAcentral